This 75-nucleotide transfer RNA is filed under the name bacterium. RNAcentral's name for it is "tRNA-Met". It matches the Rfam family "tRNA". Rfam says of the family: Transfer RNA (tRNA) molecules are approximately 80 nucleotides in length. Their secondary structure includes four short double-helical elements and three loops (D, anti-codon, and T loops). The record is from RNAcentral.
AGCGGGGUGGAGAAGUAGUAUCUCGUCUGGCCCAUAACCAGAAGAUCGUUGGUGCAAUUCCAACCCCCGCAACCU